AGUGUUUAUAGUGCUGUGAGUUUAACACUUCAUCACUGACACACACAACAAUCUUCAUCAACAUGACCUUCAUCAUCAUCUUCAUCUGGACUCUCACAGCGUUUGCUCAAGAGUGUAGAGGACAGAUCACCGUCACUCAGAGUCCCUCAAUAACAGCAGAACAACCAGGAGGAACUGUCAAUAUCAAAUGUAAAACCAGCAGAGCUGUGCUCAGAUAUAGAUCUGGGGGUGAAGGUUUAUACUGGUACUUACAGAAACCUGGAGAAGCUCCUAAACUCCUGAUUUAUCGUGUAAAAACCCUCGAGUCAGGAACUCCAUCUAGAUUCAGUGGCAGUGGAUCUAACAGUGAUUUCACUCUGAGCAUCAGUGGAGUCCAGACUGAAGAUGCUGGACAUUAUUACUGUCAGAGUUAUCACAGCGGUUAUGUGUUCACACAGUGAUAAAGAGUCGUACAAAAACCUCCGUCAGUCAGAGUCACAGUGACUGAACUGAAACUGCAGCUGCUCAAACACACACACACACACACACACACACACAACAGUGAAGAAA
Molecule: non-coding RNA, 549 nt
Organism: Pimephales promelas (fathead minnow)
Lineage: Eukaryota; Metazoa; Chordata; Actinopteri; Cypriniformes; Leuciscidae
Source: the annotation of a RefSeq genome assembly